Molecule: long non-coding RNA, 1982 nt
Filed under: Triticum aestivum (bread wheat)
Lineage: Eukaryota; Viridiplantae; Streptophyta; Magnoliopsida; Poales; Poaceae
Description: long non-coding RNA (TAES_LNC014443)
Source: RNAcentral
UCAACCCUGUUUCUCCAGUCUCGGAAAUACUCGAUCCGCCGCCUGGAAGCCAGCCGAGCCGCCUACCUCACCGUCCCUGCCCGGCCGCCCGGAACCACUGGUAGACUGCCCUUUGACCCCAAGUCCCUGACCGGCCUGAAGGCUGACAUCCGCGACCUGCCGCUGCCUGCCUCGCUUGGCGCCCGGCCGACUACUGUCCGCGCAGUCACGCAGGCGCACCACCGCGCCCUGCUGACUGGACUGCCGGAGCCGCCCACUUCCAGUGCGCUCCGCGGCCGCUUCCUCAGCCGCUGAUCCUUCGGUCCUCCCCAAUCCCCAUCCCUUGCUCAGCUCAGAGAGGUACCACAUCCCGGCGUCCCCUGAUCUCUGAAUCUCCAUGCUUUGGACGAAAUUACAUUAUGAAACUUAUAUGCAGUAAUGCCUAGUUUAGUAGUGUAGUUUUUAAAAUACCGCAGUAUUCCUAAACUUCGGUAUUGGCAAUGAAGAUGGGCGGCAGUCUGCCAGGUUCAUGCUAUGGAAGGGUGAAUUCUCAUUGAAAGGCGAUAUGCAUGUGACCGACCAUGUUAAUUUAUCGCUAAGAUUUCCUGAUCCCAGUGGUUGUUUUAAGAAUGCCGAGUUCCCGUUCGAUGUGGACCAAGAUACCAGCCUUUCUGUGGCUCUGUAAAUGGUCGACACUUUUGGAUUGCCCCAAGGGAACAUGCAGAUCAUAGCGCAGCUGAUUGAGGUGUUCUUGCUCACCCUGAUCCCUGAAUGGGUGCCCUGCAUUGCUGUCGGAUAGGUGGUUGUGGUUCCUGAGAGUGCACACAGCCACGGCUACAUCUCCAAAAGAAUCAUGAAGUACAGGCAUCUCAGAUUGGCCGUCCUAGGAUAGUUCUGCUUUCCCCAGCUAGUGUAUCUUCAGGUUUUUUGUUUAGUCGGAUGAAUUUGGCCUUGCUUCAGCCUCUGGUGCGGCUCAUAUUACAGUGCCCACUCGACAUGUUGCUAGGCACGGCAUUUUUCUUUGAUGGUGAUGAAAGUUAGUGCAGAUCUACUAGAUUCAUUGACUGAGAGUAAUCAGUUGGAAGUAGUUUGAAUGCGUCCCUUUGUUCUCUAAAUUGUUGUGUUCAAUCCAAUUUUGAAUUCUAAAAUUUUCCUGGUUUCUUCAUAAAAAUAAUACUAUAGUUUCUGAAAACAUCAAUUUUCUCAGUUUUCAUGAAACUACUGAUAUGUUUGGCUGGUACUGUUUUACCGUAGUUUUGACCCUUACGCAACUGAAUCUAACUUAGCUAGCCUACACCUAAGGAGCUACAUGACCGGAUCAAUAAGUGUGUGCGGUUCUGUACGGCCUUCUGACCGCUGACCUAGGAACUUGCGGAUGCGAUUAACUGUCCGUGGCUAACUACGAAGAAUAGGAAUCAGUAUCAUGUUUAACUAGUGUGCAGCAUGCUGUGCGUAGGAAUGGACCACUAGUACGAAAGAGAUACUGCCAUGUUGUUAAUUGUGAUUUCAAGUUACAAACCAAGCUGCAUGGUAGUCAGGUUCUAAUGUGAUUCUGUUAUUUACAUUCUUAGUAUCAUUGUUGAACUUAUGUCAAUCUGGACAUGAAACUUACCACUAUCGCUUCUGAAUGCAGGUUCGAUGGUAAUGAAAAAGACACCUAUCUGAAUAUGUGGAGCCUAGUUGGAGUGAGGAAUUCAUUAGUGUUAUUGCUAUUUUUUCUUUGAUGUUUAUGUACUUUAUAAUUCAGACAAGAAGAUUUGUAGGUGUGAUAGGCCUAAAGUGUCAAUACUUGAUCCCAAAUAUGUUGGUUCCACGAACAACAUAGAAGUGUUAAAUAUGCUAGUUCCACGAACUCGAUCAAUACAUUGGUGUUGGUUGUCUUCUUUCCAAUACAUCAUGAGUUGCAAUUUUCUAUAAAUUGUGAGCUGCAUAAUGUUUUUGGUUCUAACAAUGGAUGAGAAAGAAAAAGAAAGAGAAAUAAGAAGCAUAUAGUUACAUAAAUG